AGGUGGGAGGCUUUGAAACCAGGACGCCAGUUUUGGCGGAGCCAUCCUUGGGAUACCACCCUUGUAGUACUGGGACUCUAACCAUAGGCCAUGAAUCUGGUCUUGGGACACUGUCAGGUGGGCAGUUUGACUGGGGCGGUCGCCUCCCAAAAGGUAACGGAGGCGCUCAAAGGUUCUCUCAGUACGGUCGGAAAUCGUACGUAGAGUGUAAAGGCAAAAGAGAGCUUGAUUGCAAGACAUACAGGUCGAGCAAGGAUGAAAAUCGGACUUAGUGAUCCGGUGGUUCUGCGUGGAAGGGCCAUCGCUCAACGGAUAAAAGCUACCCUGGGGAUAACAGGCUUAUCUCCCCCAAGAGUCCACAUCGACGGGGAGGUUUGGCACCUCGAUGUCGGCUCAUCACAUCCUGGGGCUGUAGUAGGUCCCAAGGGUUGGGCUGUUCGCCCAUUAAAGUGGUACGCGAGCUGGGUUCAGAACGUCGUGAGACAGUUCGGUCCCUAUCCGUCGCAGGCGUAGGAAAUUUGAGAAGACCUGUCCUUAGUACGAGAGGACCGGGAUGGACGUACCUCUGGUGUACCAGUUGUUCUGCCAAGGGCAUGGCUGGGUAGCUAUGUACGGAAUGGAUAAGCGCUGAAAGCAUCUAAGCGCGAAGCCAACUUCAAGAUAAGAUUUCCCACCGUAAGGGUAAGACCCCAGAAAGACUAUCUGG
RNAcentral lists this ribosomal RNA (706 nucleotides) under Clostridioides difficile. RNAcentral's name for it is "partial 23S ribosomal RNA". It matches the Rfam family "Bacterial large subunit ribosomal RNA", at positions 2145 to 2852 of the family's 2925-position model. The record is from RNAcentral. Lineage: Bacteria; Bacillati; Bacillota; Clostridia; Peptostreptococcales; Peptostreptococcaceae.